UGCGUAGGCGAGGCAAUUAGUCAGUGGUGAAAUCCUGCGGCUUAACCGUAGAACUGCCAUUGAUACUGUUGCCCUUGAGUAUAGUUGAGGUGGGCGGAAUGUGUAAUGUAGCGGUGAAAUGCAUAGAGAUUACACAGAACACCAAUUGCGAAGGCAGCUCACUAAGCUAUAACUGACGCUGAGGCACGAAAGCGUGGGGAGCGAACAGGAUUAGAUACCCUGGUAGUCC
Molecule: ribosomal RNA, 229 nt
Filed under: uncultured bacterium
Lineage: Bacteria
Description: partial 16S ribosomal RNA
Rfam family: Bacterial small subunit ribosomal RNA
Source: RNAcentral